UACGAAGGGGGCUAGCGUUGCUCGGAAUUACUGGGCGUAAAGCGUGCGCAGGCGGUUUUGUAAGCCAGAUGUGAAAUCCCCGGGCUUAACCUGGGAAUGGCAUUUGGGACUGCAAGGCUCGAGUGCGGCAGAGGAGACUGGAAUUCCUGGUGUAGCAGUGAAAUGCGCAGAUAUCGGGAAGAACACCCGUGGCGAAGGCGGCUCUCUGGGACGGUACUGACGCUGAGACGCGAAAGCGUGGGGAGCGAACAGG
This 253-nucleotide ribosomal RNA is filed under the name uncultured bacterium. Its description in RNAcentral is "partial 16S ribosomal RNA". It matches the Rfam family "Bacterial small subunit ribosomal RNA", at positions 524 to 776 of the family's 1533-position model. The record is from RNAcentral.